Molecule: ribosomal RNA, 172 nt
Filed under: uncultured bacterium
Lineage: Bacteria
Description: partial 16S ribosomal RNA
Rfam family: Bacterial small subunit ribosomal RNA
Source: RNAcentral
CCUACGGGAGGCAGCAGUGGGGAAUAUUGGGCAAUGGGCGAAAGCCUGACCCAGCAACGCCGCGUGAAGGAAGAAGGCCUUCGGGUUGUAAACUUCUUUUAUGAGGGACGAAGGAAGUGACGGUACCUCAUGAAUAAGCCACGGCUAACUACGUGCCAGCAGCCGCGGUAAU